This 537-nucleotide ribosomal RNA is filed under the name uncultured Acidobacteriota bacterium. RNAcentral describes it as "bacterial SSU rRNA". It matches the Rfam family "Bacterial small subunit ribosomal RNA", at positions 13 to 529 of the family's 1533-position model. The record is from RNAcentral. Lineage: Bacteria; Pseudomonadati; Acidobacteriota.
UUGAUCCUGGCUCAGAAUCAACGCUGGCGGCGUGCCUAACACAUGCAAGUCGAACGCGAAAGCCCCGCAAGGGGUAAGUAGAGUGGCAAACGGGUGAGUUACACGUGGGUGACCUGCCUUCGAGUGGGGGAUAACGUCCCGAAAGGGACUCUAAUACCGCAUAAUAUCCUGCCUUUUAAGAGGUGGACAUCAAAGCUGGUGACCGCAAGGCCUGGCGCUUGAAGAGGGGCCCGCGCCUGAUUAGCUAGUUGGUGGGGUAAUGGCUCACCAAGGCUUCGAUCAGUAUCCGGCCUGAGAGGUCGGACGGACACACUGGGACUGAGACACGGCCCAGACUCCUACGGGAGGCUGCAGUGGGGAAUUGUUCGCAAUGGGCGCAAGCCUGACGACGCAACGCCGUGUGGAGGAUGAAGACCUUCGGGUCGUAAACUCCUUUCGAUCGAGACGAAUGGUCUCCGGGUGAACAGCCUGGGGAAGUGACGGUACCGAGAGAAGAAGCUCCGGCUAACUCCGUGCCAGCAGCCGCGGUAAUAAGGU